CCUCGCCUCAACUAACAACAUAGUCUUCCUCUUCCACCACCAGGAAAAUAGACACCAGCAUCGAGAAACUGCUAUCUAGGCAGUAGUGGAGCAGAACUAGUAGAACUUAAGGUGGGCCCAUGAUGCCACCACCAUCAGGAAGACCCUCACAAUUGCCUUGUCAUAGUACAACAUCACCAACCCCUUUAUCUCCACAAACACCGCUGUCAUAAAUCCACACACUUAAUCUACU
RNAcentral lists this long non-coding RNA (232 nucleotides) under Elaeis guineensis (African oil palm). RNAcentral describes it as "long non-coding RNA (EGUI_LNC049371)". Lineage: Eukaryota; Viridiplantae; Streptophyta; Magnoliopsida; Arecales; Arecaceae. The record is from RNAcentral.